Molecule: small nuclear RNA, 104 nt
Organism: Nyctereutes procyonoides (raccoon dog)
Lineage: Eukaryota; Metazoa; Chordata; Mammalia; Carnivora; Canidae
Source: RefSeq, a predicted model, not a curated record
GUGCCUGGUUCAGCAGCACAUAUACUAAAACCGAAACGAUACAGAGAUUAGCAUGGCCCCCAUGCAAGGAUGACAUGCAAAUCCAAGUACAAUAUUUCACUAGU